Molecule: unclassified non-coding RNA, 379 nt
Filed under: plant metagenome
Description: partial contains 5.8S ribosomal RNA, internal transcribed spacer 2, and large subunit ribosomal RNA
Rfam family: 5.8S ribosomal RNA (bases 1-106)
Source: RNAcentral
CGAAAUGCGAUAAGUAAUGUGAAUUGCAGAAUUCAGUGAAUCAUCGAAUCUUUGAACGCACCUUGCGCUCCUUGGUAUUCCUUGGAGCAUGCCUGUUUGAGUAUCAUGAAAUCUUCAAAGUAAAUCUUUUGUUAACUCAAUUGGUUUCUACUUUGGUAUUGGAGGUCUUUGCAGCUUCACACCUGCUCCUCUUUGUUCAUUAGCUGGAUCUCAGUGUCAUGCUUGGUUCCACUCGGCGUGAUAAGUUAUCUAUCGCUGAGGACACUGUAAAAGGUGGCCAAGGUAAAUGCAGAUGAACCGCUUCUAAUAGUCCAUUGACUUGGACAAUACUUUUAUGAUCUGAUCUCAAAUCAGGUAGGACUACCCGCUGAACUUAAGC